GACUAUUUAGUUUAAAAAAAACAAAUGUUUUGAAAACAUUAAAUAAGAGUAAAUUCUUAAUAGUCG
RNAcentral lists this transfer RNA (66 nucleotides) under Eriocheir japonica (Japanese mitten crab). Its description in RNAcentral is "tRNA-Ser". It matches the Rfam family "tRNA". Rfam says of the family: Transfer RNA (tRNA) molecules are approximately 80 nucleotides in length. Their secondary structure includes four short double-helical elements and three loops (D, anti-codon, and T loops). Lineage: Eukaryota; Metazoa; Arthropoda; Malacostraca; Decapoda; Varunidae. The record is from RNAcentral.